Molecule: long non-coding RNA, 396 nt
Filed under: Homo sapiens (human)
Lineage: Eukaryota; Metazoa; Chordata; Mammalia; Primates; Hominidae
Description: HSALNT0374124
Source: RNAcentral
CAAUUCUUAGUGUCAGCUUCAUGCAUAGGUAGUAACAUGGUCAUAGCAGUUUCUACAUAUGACAAAACCCAGAAGAACAAGGGAUGCUAUUUGUGGACUGAAUGUUUGUGUCUCCCCAGAAUUCAUGUUGAAACCCUAUUCCCCAGUGUGAUAGCAUUAGGAGUUGGGCCUUUGAGAGGAUAAAAUGAGAAGUCAGCAGUCUGGAACCCGGAAGAGAAACCUCAUCAGAAACUGACCAUGCUGGCACCCUAAAACUGGGACUUCCAGCCUCCAGAAUUAGUCUCGCUCUGUCACCCAGACUGGAGUACAAGGAUGCGAUCUCGGCCCACUGCAACCUCCACCUCCCAGGUUCAAGCGAUUCUCCCACCUCAGCCUCCUGAGUAGCUGGGAUUACAG